Long non-coding RNA from Solea solea (common sole), 1226 nucleotides. RefSeq lists it as uncharacterized. The transcript is spliced from 3 exons. Lineage: Eukaryota; Metazoa; Chordata; Actinopteri; Pleuronectiformes; Soleidae. The record is from RefSeq and is a predicted model, not a curated record.
UGUCUCUCUGUAAUCCAUCCUGGCUGCUCACUCACAUCCACAAAGUCCACAAAGUCCGACGGAACCCGUCUGUGAAAAAUGCUCGACUCAAACGAGGCCGCGCCAGCAUCAUGCCAGGUUAUCAAGCUGGAUUUUGACAAAUGUGUCAGAGGGAAGGGAGUGCAGGACUGCAAAGAUCUGCUAGAUGCCUUCCAUGUCUGUGUGAAAACCCUGUCUGAGGAAUCCUAGCACAUGAUGAAGUACAUCGAAAUGAAAGUGUGAGCUGCAGCUGAACGUGGGGAAUACAAAAGACAAGACCUGGAGGAACUGGGGGACAGACUGAGCCUGGUGCUGUCAGCGCGAGGGAAGGAGACAUUCAGGACCAAAUGAAAACUCCUCAUUCUGGCCUCAAAACCCACAACUGCAACUGAGAAACGCUGUCUGACCCUUCCUUCCAUUUUGGUAACACUUAACAUUACAGUACAGUAACAAUAUGGUAUAGUCAUCAAACUAUGAUUUAAACUUCAAGCACACAGUCCAUUUUAUUUUCUGUCCUGUUAUUAUGUUGUCUUCAGGACAAACAUGUGGCAAGAGGUCAGUAAAUAUAACCAAGCAUUAGUGAAAAUCACUUCUAAACACUAGAAACUAAGCACUAGGGUCCUGCGAGACAAGAACUUGUGAAUGUCAUGUAGUGCAGCCUGGGAAAUGAUUAUUCUGGACCAUAAUAAUAAAUUGUAAAGAUAAAUUAAACUGAGCACUGGCAUCUAGUGGGAAGUGCUGGUACUCAAAAUAGUACAAUUAACAGUGGCUGUCCUAUGAGCACUGCUAAAAGUAUAAUAUAAAUAAAUAUAUACAAAUGUGAAACAGAUGUGACUGAAUCAAUUAUACAUACAUAUUAACAAGAAUAUACAGUGAAUUAGAAUAAGUGAACUGGAUUUAACUUACAAUAUGUUUGCAUAUGCUAAUUGAAUGGAAUUAAUAAUAUGUAGGUAAUACAUCUUAUUUCCAUGGUAAUCACUACAUAAUGACCCAUCCAAAUCAAACCGUUAUUAAGUCAAAUUUCAAUGAGGAAUCACACAUAAAAAGUACUCCCUUAUCCACUGAAUGAUCAUAUUUAUUAACAUAAAAUCCGAGAUUCUAAACCAAAAUAAUGUGAUGAAGAAGACCACAAAAAUUCAGUUGCAUCUUAAAAAUCAGUCCCUAAAAUAUUACUCAAAUAGUUCCUAAAGUCAGGUUUUUUUUACUUA